Molecule: ribosomal RNA, 253 nt
Filed under: uncultured bacterium
Lineage: Bacteria
Description: partial 16S ribosomal RNA
Rfam family: Bacterial small subunit ribosomal RNA
Source: RNAcentral
UACGGAGGGUGCAAGCGUUAAUCGGAAUUACUGGGCGUAAAGCGUGCGCAGGCGGUUGUGCAAGACAGAGGUGAAAUCCCCGGGCUUAACCUGGGAAUGGCCUUUGUGACUGCACGGCUAGAGUGUGUCAGAGGGGGGUAGAAUUCCACGUGUAGCAGUGAAAUGCGUAGAGAUGUGGAGGAAUACCGAUGGCGAAGGCAGCCCCCUGGGAUAACACUGACGCUCAGGCACGAAAGCGUGGGGAGCAAACAGG